Molecule: ribosomal RNA, 482 nt
Filed under: uncultured bacterium
Lineage: Bacteria
Description: partial 16S ribosomal RNA
Rfam family: Bacterial small subunit ribosomal RNA
Source: RNAcentral
AUUGAACGCUGGCGGCAUGCUUUACACAUGCAAGUCGAACGGUAACAGGUCUUCGGCUGCUGCCGAGUGGCGAACGGGUGAGUAAUACAUCGGAACGUGCCUAGUAGUGGGGGAUAACUACUCGAAAGAGUAGCUAAUACCGCAUGAGAUCUACGGAUGAAAGCAGGGGACCUUCGGGCCUUGUGCUACUAGAGCGGCUGAUGGCAGAUUAGGUAGUUGGUGGGGUAAAGGCUUACCAAGCCUGCGAUCUGUAGCUGGUCUGAGAGGACGACCAGCCACACUGGGACUGAGACACGGCCCAGACUCCUACGGGAGGCAGCAGUGGGGAAUUUUGGACAAUGGGCGAAAGCCUGAUCCAGCAAUGCCGCGUGCAGGAUGAAGGCCCUCGGGUUGUAAACUGCUUUUGUACGGAACGAAAAGCCUGGGGCUAAUAUCCCCGGGUCAUGACGGUACCGUAAGAAUAAGCACCGGCUAACUACGUG